UCCCUGGUGGCUCAGAGGUUAAAGCGUCUGCCUACAAUGCGGGAGACCCGGGUUCAAUUCCUGGGUUGGGAA
This 72-nucleotide transfer RNA is filed under the name Ovis aries (sheep). It matches the Rfam family "tRNA". Rfam says of the family: Transfer RNA (tRNA) molecules are approximately 80 nucleotides in length. Their secondary structure includes four short double-helical elements and three loops (D, anti-codon, and T loops). Lineage: Eukaryota; Metazoa; Chordata; Mammalia; Artiodactyla; Bovidae. The record is from Rfam by way of RNAcentral.